RNAcentral lists this ribosomal RNA (323 nucleotides) under Escherichia coli. RNAcentral's name for it is "partial 23S ribosomal RNA". It matches the Rfam family "Bacterial large subunit ribosomal RNA", at positions 1615 to 1919 of the family's 2925-position model. Lineage: Bacteria; Pseudomonadati; Pseudomonadota; Gammaproteobacteria; Enterobacterales; Enterobacteriaceae. The record is from RNAcentral.
AAGCCUCUAAGCAUCAGGUAAUAUCAAAUCGUACCCCAAACCGACACAGGUGGUCAGGUAGAGAAUACCAAGGCGCUUGAGAGAACUCGGGUGAAGGAACUAGGCAAAAUGGUGCCGUAACUUCGGGAGAAGGCACGCUGAUAUGUAGGUGAAGUCCCUCGCGGAUGGAGCUGAAAUCAGUCGAAGAUACCAGCUGGCUGCAACUGUUUAUUAAAAACACAGCACUGUGCAAACACGAAAGUGGACGUAUACGGUGUGACGCCUGCCCGGUGCCGGAAGGUUAAUUGAUGGGGUCAGCGCAAGCGAAGCUCUUGAUCGAAGCC